GAUGAACGCUGGCGGCGUGCUUAACACAUGCAAGUCGAACGGUGAAGCUCCAGCUUGCUGGAGUGGCUCAGUGGCGAACGUGUGAGUAACACGUGUGAAACCCGCCCCUGACUCUGGGAUAACAGCGGGAAACGGCUGCUAAUUCCGGAUAUGCACCAUGAACGCCUGUUCUGUGGUGGGAAAGAUUUUUCGGUUGGGGAUGUGCUCGCGGCCUAUCAGCUUGUUGGUGAGGUAAUGGCUCACCAAGGCGUCGACGGGUAGCCGGCCUGAGAGGGUGACCGGCCACACUGGGACUGAGACACGGCCCGGACUCCUACGGGAGGCAGCAGUGGGGAAUAUUGCACAAUGGGCGAAAGCCUGAUGCAGCAACGCCGCGUGAGGGAUGACGGCCUUCGGGUUGUAAACCUCUUUUAGCAGGGAAGAAGCGAAAGUGACGGUACCUGCAGAAAAAGCGCCGGCUAACUACGUG
Molecule: ribosomal RNA, 469 nt
Filed under: uncultured bacterium
Lineage: Bacteria
Description: partial 16S ribosomal RNA
Rfam family: Bacterial small subunit ribosomal RNA
Source: RNAcentral